This 3725-nucleotide unclassified non-coding RNA is filed under the name Hevea brasiliensis (rubber tree). The record is from RNAcentral. Lineage: Eukaryota; Viridiplantae; Streptophyta; Magnoliopsida; Malpighiales; Euphorbiaceae.
GGUAAGUAAUCUAUAAAAAAGGAUACAACAUGAAGCACAAAGAUGGAAAACCAUAUCCACCAAAUAAAAAUUCAAAGAAAAUUCAAGUGACACUAAUAGUUGUGGUGCUCUGUGGGUUUUCCUUCUAUCUUGGAGGAAUUUUUUGUUCUGAAAAGGAUACAUAUGCAACUAAGGAGGUUAACAGGGAGGAUGAAACUUCCAUAGGGAAUUCUGCUGGCUCUCUACAAACUAGAGGCAAUUCCUUUACUGAAUGCAGUGCUGACUAUCAGGACUAUACCCCAUGCACAGAUCCGAGGAGAUGGAAGAAGUACGGUCUUCAUCGCCUUACUUUCAUGGAACGACAUUGCCCUCCUAAUUUUGAAAGGAAGGAAUGCUUGGUUCCCCCACCAGAUGGCUACAAGGUGCCAAUAAGAUGGCCAAAGAGCAAAAAUGAAUGUUGGUACAGAAAUGUUCCAUAUGAUUGGAUUAACAAACAGAAAUCCAAUCAGCAUUGGCUCGUAAAAGAAGGGGAGAAGUUUAUCUUUCCUGGUGGAGGUACUAUGUUUCCUAGAGGAGUCAGUGCCUAUGUUGAUCUGAUGGAAGAUCUCAUCCCAGAAAUGAAAGAUGGAACCAUUCGCACUGCUAUUGAUACUGGAUGUGGGGUUGCAAGCUGGGGUGGCGAUCUAUUGGAUAGAGGGAUCCUAACUCUUUCUCUUGCCCCAAGAGACAAUCAUGAGGCUCAAGUCCAGUUUGCACUGGAGCGUGGAAUUCCUGCAAUCCUAGGAAUCAUUGCCACACAACGACUCCCAUUCCCUUCAAGCUCAUUUGAUAUGGCUCAUUGCUCAAGAUGCCUUAUUCCGUGGACUGAAUAUGGUAAUUGAUUAAUUAUUUCUGACUGCAUGAUCAACAUCUUACUACAUACAGGAUUUUUGCAGUAUGCUUGAAUGUGAAUGUAGAAAAUACGAUGCAGUCAGGCAGUCCGGAUUGUGGCUACUGCUAAACUUGCUGGUUUUAAACGCUUAUUUUUGAGUGGUAACUUGUAGAUAUAUUCUGAUUCUCUGAAAUUUUCCACUUGGAAAAUGGUGCCUGUGUUUCUCUCAGAAGUUUCUUCAUUCCUUGGAAUUGGGAAAUGCUUUUGAAAAUUUCAAAUACCACCAACUUAAUUGAUUUUGCUUUUGUUUUUUUGUCAUAAUUGUCUUGAAGGAUUGUUGAGAUCUAUUUUCCUCACUGCCUUUGAGAUAUUAUUGCUGCAUUUUGUAUUUCAAUUUACAGGUUAUGUACUAAUCCUUAGGAAGUCAGAUUGUAUUUCCUUACAUUUGUUCUUCAUUUUUCACCCCCAACAUACAACACUACCCUCUUCUCCUUCUAUUUAGCAUUGAAUUAUUGAUACCCUAUCAGCACUUGCCGUUCUAAAAUGAUGGAUACUUUUUGUUCAGGUGGUAUUUAUCUCCUAGAAAUUCACCGUAUACUCCGUCCUGGUGGCUUUUGGGUCUUGUCUGGUCCUCCAGUUAACUAUGAAAAUCGUUGGCGAGGGUGGAACACUACAAUAGAAGAGCAGAAAUCAGAUUAUGAGAAGUUGCAAGAACUUCUAACUUCAAUGUGCUUCAAACUGUACAACAAGAAGGAUGACAUUGCUGUGUGGCGGAAAGCUUCAGAUAAUAGUUGCUAUAGCAAGCUUGCUAAACCUGAAGCCUACCCACCAAAAUGUGAUGACAGUCUUGAACCAGAUUCUGCAUGGUACACUCCACUUCGUACUUGUGUUCUUGUUCCCAGCCCAAAACUUAAGACAUCAGUUCUGGAAUCCAUCCCAAAAUGGCCGGAGCGGUUGCAUGUUGUUCCUGAACGUAUUUCAGAUGUUCCUGGUGGUAGUGCUAGCACUUUCAAACAUGAUGACAGCAAGUGGAAGGUGCGAGCAAAACACUACAAAAAGUUACUGUCAGCAAUUGGGACUGAUAAAAUAAGAAAUGUAAUGGACAUGAAUACAGUUUAUGGAGGUUUUGCUGCAUCUGUGAUUGAUGAUCCCUUGUGGGUCAUGAAUGUGGUCUCUUCUUAUGCUGUCAAUACACUUCCCGUGGUCUACGACCGAGGCCUUAUUGGAACUUACCAUGACUGGUAAUCCUGCUAAUGUGAAUUUGAAGUUUCUGUUUCUGCAUGAACAGCAUAAUUGUCCUGAACUUUCAAUGUUGCAUAUCAUUUAAAUCGGACCUGCAUGAAUAUGGUGUUGGAUUUAUCUCUUUCCUGUUUGGUAGGUGUGAAGCUUUCUCAACAUACCCUCGAACAUAUGACUUCCUUCACCUUGAUGGCCUUUUUACUGCUGAGAGCCACCGGUAAGACAUGGUCCUUAGUUUCAAGUUGCUGUUUUGUGCAAUUGCUUGCUAUUUUCUUUGGAAUUGUCAUUUGGAAUUUGGCCUAAGUUGAUCUCUUAAGUUUUAAUGCCUUGUCUUUUUGGGUCUGGUAUGGACCUCCUGAGUUAUAUUGCCUUGACUUUUUAUGUCUGGCGUGGACCAUUAUGUGAUAAAGGUCUAAAAUGCAUGAAUGAAGAUGAUAUAUUUUUCUUCUGCAUAGAAAAUUAAGAAUAGUGACAAAGUAGAAGCAGGUUAUCUGCUCAAGUAUUGAACUGUGAAUUGGGAAAAAUGGUUCAGGAUGUUUACAUUUUACUAUACCCUAGUCAGGCUUGGCCUAAUUGGAUCAGCCAUUAUUAGGUUGGUCAAGCAGAUAUUUGCUAAUAUAUUUUGGAAUGCUUGGAAAGUUAAUGGUAUUCUGCAGAGUUGGCCAGGCCGGGCCAGACUAGCACAAUAUAAUCUGUCUGCUGUAGUCCAUAGAUGAAAAUUGCCAAAAAUACCUAGUUACUGCACUUUUUUUGUUUCUCCAUUUUUGCUUGAUGCUAUUCCUUGAAUUGGUCACUAUGGGACUCUGGAGUUGAACACCCCCACCUUUUUAUUUUCAAUUUAUUAGAUGAUCUUGAAUUUGUAAUUCACCAGCAAAGAAACAGAGCUGCUGUAAUUGUUGAUUCUUAUCAAUCUUAUCUUAUGAAAUGCUAAGAUGGAGAAUAUGCAAAUAUAAGUUGUGUUUCUGAUAAUUUUGAGUAAUUGGGCAGAUGUGAUAUGAAGUAUGUGCUCUUAGAGAUGGAUCGGAUCCUGCGUCCCAGUGGGUAUGCAAUUAUACGGGAAUCUAGCUAUUUUGUUGAUGCUAUUGCCACCAUUGCCAAGGGGAUGAGGUGGGGCUGCCGUAAAGAAGACACUGAAUAUGGUGUUGAGAAGGAGAAGAUAUUGAUUUGCCAGAAAAAGCUCUGGUACUCCUCUAAUCAGAGUUCAAGAAGAUAAAAAUAGAAAUCCUAGUUGUGGUGAUGAUCUCCUGACAAGGAUUCCAGGGGAUAGACACCAUAUAUCAGUAAAGUUCAAUACUUGACCUGCAAAUUUAUUAAAAUCCACAGGAGCCGAGGUCUACAAAUUCAAAUUUGUCAAUUGGAUUAUUAGCUACACAAUAACCUAGUUUUGUUAAUUUAUAGUGCCCAUAAAAGAUAUGUAUUCUUUGCAAGGCAUCCAUAUAUUCUUGGCAAUUUUUUUUUGAGUUCUCUUGUUUUUGCUUUUAUUUAUUUAUUUUUUGUGCUUUUACCUUUUAUAUGUCAGAGACUUUAUAUGAUAAGUGCCUGUAACAAUUUGUGAGGAUUCAAGAAGACUUACAAUCACACAUUGUGAUUUCUGUGUAAUGAAAAUUAUGAAAUUGCUGUUUCUUAUUGAAAUUUG